AACUUCUCAAUCACUGAAAUAGCCUUGUAAUAGCUAAAAGAUCUCCGGUCAUCACCCAAUGCUUUCAACAGCAUUAACACAAUAAGCAAGAGCUUUAGAAUGGCCGAAAAUAAAGAAAUAAAAAAAGACAACAAUAUGUAGGAGUUAUAUGAGCCUUAUACCUCUAUAUAUGUUCACAAGUUUCUUGAAUAUCUCUGUAAUGUUCUUGUUUAGAUCAGGCGGGCAGUACGGCAAGGUUGACUGCAGUGCACUCACCAUGAUAGAUGAGUUUCAACAAGGCAUAAAAAUUAGAGUAUGAGAUUAAAAAUUAACUACAUUUCAUAAAUGCAUAAUGCAUGUACUUCAAAGCCAUUAUCAUUAAUUUCUCUCCAAUCUAUAAUCUAUAACUGAUCAUAAUUAGGCAGCACUAAAUUUUGAGAAAAAUAUAAAAAAAAAUUGUCAAAAGUUUAUUCUAUUCAGAAGGGCCAGAAGAAAAUUUUGGAUGAAAAAUAUUUAAAGCAAAUAAUCUUCAAACUGUAAGGAUAUAGAUCUCACUGCCUCGUUUUCAGCAUCACGGUGUUGUGGUCUUCUGUCAGCAUAAUUUAAAUUCUCGACUUCACCGUCUCUGCUUGCCAUGCUUGUUGAUGAAAGU
This 631-nucleotide long non-coding RNA is filed under the name Cicer arietinum (chickpea). RNAcentral describes it as "long non-coding RNA (CARI_LNC000426)". The record is from RNAcentral. Lineage: Eukaryota; Viridiplantae; Streptophyta; Magnoliopsida; Fabales; Fabaceae.